UGGUGGAGUGAUUUGUCUGCUUAAUUGCGAUAACGAACGAGACCUUAACCUGCUAAAUAGCCAGGCCCGCUUUGGCGGGUCGCCGGCUUCUUAGAGGGACUAUCGGAUUUACAAGACGAUGGAAGUUUGAGGCAAUAACA
RNAcentral lists this ribosomal RNA (140 nucleotides) under uncultured eukaryote. RNAcentral describes it as "partial 18S ribosomal RNA". It matches the Rfam family "Eukaryotic small subunit ribosomal RNA", at positions 1299 to 1458 of the family's 1831-position model. The record is from RNAcentral.